Non-coding RNA from Canis lupus familiaris (dog), 106 nucleotides. Lineage: Eukaryota; Metazoa; Chordata; Mammalia; Carnivora; Canidae. The record is from Rfam.
AGGAGGAACAACCUCAGUGGUGUGGCCAGCUCUGGAUCCCUGGAUUCAGCUCCCGUAGUAACUAUGGAGCUCUCAGUCUGCAGCGGCCUGGAUGCUCCGGGGGCGG